RNAcentral lists this transfer RNA (75 nucleotides) under Clostridiaceae bacterium. RNAcentral describes it as "tRNA-Arg". It matches the Rfam family "tRNA". Rfam says of the family: Transfer RNA (tRNA) molecules are approximately 80 nucleotides in length. Lineage: Bacteria; Bacillati; Bacillota; Clostridia; Eubacteriales; Clostridiaceae. The record is from RNAcentral.
GUCUCGGUGGCCUAAUGGAUAAGGCUGUGGAUUCCGGAUCCACCAAUGCGGGUUCGAUUCCUGCCCGGGGCACCA